GCCCCCACGACUCCCAUAGUCCCACCCGGGACCCCCAUAACUCCCUCUGGGACGCCCGUAGGCGCCCCCCCGGACCCACGUACCCAUCCCGGGACCCCCGUAUCUCCCCACGGUGCACCCAUACCCGCCCCUGCGACCCCCAUACCCCGCAGGACCCCAAUGCCCCUCCUGGAACCCCAUAUCCCCCCCGGGACCCACAUAUCCCCUCCUAGGACCUUCCUAACCCUUCCAGGAUCCCUCUGGGACCCCCAAUAUGCCUUCCUCCAUGGGACCCCAGUAUCUCCCACAGGACCCCUAUAUCUCCCCCGGGACCCCAUUAACCCCCCUCAGGGCCCCCAUACUUGCCCCCAGGACCCCAGUAUCUCCCCCCAGGACCUUGUUACUGCCUGGAACCCCAAUAUCUCCCCUGGGACUCCCGUAUACCACCCAGAACCCCCGUAUCUCCCCAGGACCCCCAUAUCCCCUGUUCCCCCCGCUCAGGAGGACCCCUCCACCCUCCCACCUGAGCUAGGAGGGGUCUCCCCUCCCUGCCCCUCUUUGACUCCUCGCAGGCUGCCUCGUUUUCCUCCUCCUUCUCAGCUGGGGGGACGUGGGGCGGUGGUGUCCCCCGACGUGGGCGCAGGUGGGACGACGGCUCUGCUGCGCUGCUUCCCCUGCGAGCGGCUCUGCGGGGUCUGCCUGGUGCCCCCUGCUGCGCCCGGGGUGCUGCCGCCUGCCAUGGCCCCCCCACGCCGUCGCCUGCCCCCACGGACCUUCCGCAGCUACCUGCCACGCUCCCACCGCACCUACAGCUGCGUCCACUGCCGCGCACACCUCGCCCAGCAUGAGGAGCUCAUCUCCAAGGUGGCCCCGGGGUGGCCCUUCGGUGGCCCAUGGGGGCGGCCCUGCGGUGGCCCUGGGGCAGAGAAUGUUCCCUCUGGGUGGCCCUGGGUCAAUAAACAUCCCCUGAUGGUGGCCCUAUGGUGGCUGUGGGGCAGCAAGCAUCCCCCCAUGGUGGCCCCACAGUGGCCUUGGGUCAGUGAGUGUCCCCCAUGGUGGUCCUGUGGUGGCUCUGGUCAGUGAGUGUCCACUCAUGGUGGCCCUGUGUCAGUAAGAAUCGCUGCAUGGUGGCCCUGGGCCAGCAAACACCCCCCCCCCAUGGUGACCCUCGCUCAGUGAGUGUCCCCCUGUGGUGGCUCUGGGGUGUCCUCAGAGCAGCGAUGUCUCCAGGCUGGCAUGUGGUGUGGUGGUGAUGCAGCGGGGCAGGGGGACAGGGGAAACCCAGGGCGUGGGGCGCAGCUGGUGAUGGGUGCUAUGUCCCCCAGUCUUUCCAGGGGAGCCACGGCCGAGCCUACCUGUUCAACUCUGUGUGAGUGCGGCCAGCACCGCGACACGGGCGCCAUGAGGGGCACGGCAGGGGCAUCGGGGCUGUGCUCCUGGCCGGCCUGAGCCAGGCUGUGCUGUGCCGUGCUGGGCUGUGCCAGGCCAUGCCAGAUCAGAGUAUGCCAGAUUGUGUCGUGCUGGGCUGUGCUGUGCCUGCUCUGCCACACUGGGCUGUGCCCAGCCAUGCCAGACCAGACUGUGCCAGAUUGUGCCAUGCCGUGCCAUGCUGUGCUAUGUCUGCUCUGCCAUGCUGGGCUGCGCCAGGCCAUGCCAGACCAGGCUGUGCCAGACUGUGCCAUGCCAUGCUAUGCUGUGCCUGCUCGGCCACGCUGGGUUGUGCCAGGCCAUGCCAGACUAGGCUGUGCAAGAUUGUGCCGUGCCAGGCUGUGCUGUACCGAGCUGUGCCAUGCGUUGCUAUGCCGUGCCAUGCUGGGCUGUGCCAGGCUGUGCCAGCUGGUGCCAUGCUGAGCUGGGCUGUGCCAUACCUUGCCAUGCCAGGCUGGGCUGUGCCAGGCUAUGCCAUGCCAGUAGGUGUCAUGCCAGGCCAUGCCAUGCUGUGCUGUACCAGGCAUGCCAGGCCAGGCUGUGCCAUGCCAGCCAGUGCCAUGCCGUGCCAGUCGUGCCCGUGGUGGCAGCGUGCUCUCCAACGCAGGGUGAACGUGGGCUGCGGGCCGGCAGAGCAGCGGCUGCUGCUGACGGGGCUGCACUCGGUAGCUGACAUCUUCUGCCAGAGCUGCAAAACCACCCUGGGCUGGAAAUACCCGUGCCAGGGCGUGACGUGGUGCCCCCCAGGAGCAGGCCUUCGAGAGCAGCCAGAAGUACAAGGAGGGCAAGUUCAUCAUCGAGACGUCGCACAUGGUGAAGGAGAACGGCUGGGACUAAGUGGGAUGUGGGGGACUCCCCCAGGGGUGCCCCCCUGCCAGCCAGAGCUCCCUGGGUGCUGGGGCUUUUCUGGGGCAAUAAAGCUUUGUUUUGUAGCUGAA
Cuculus canorus (common cuckoo) is the source of this 2345-nucleotide RNA transcript. It is a transcript of the gene named yippee like 4, with no coding region annotated. The record is from RefSeq and is a predicted model, not a curated record. NCBI's taxonomy places the organism in Eukaryota, Metazoa, Chordata, Aves, Cuculiformes, Cuculidae. The transcript has 2 exons.